Xenia sp. Carnegie-2017 is the source of this 523-nucleotide long non-coding RNA. RefSeq lists it as uncharacterized. The transcript is spliced from 2 exons. NCBI's taxonomy places the organism in Eukaryota, Metazoa, Cnidaria, Anthozoa, Malacalcyonacea, Xeniidae. The record is from RefSeq and is a predicted model, not a curated record.
GGCAUUGUUUUAAUGAGAAAGCAAACGAUUGCCUCAAAGCUGCUUAAAUAUUGUAGUUUCUAACGAUAAAAUGAAACUUUGUAAGAAGAAGUUGUCCUAUUUUUUAUCAAAUUUCAACGUAUAUUGAACAGUGAUACUGUCGUCGCAGAAUAGAUAAGGUAAUCUAUUCUGUGUCUUUGUUUUACAUAACAAUAAAGGCCCAAAAUUAUUUGCCCCGUAUCCACUCAAGCGACGCAGACAUUUGACGCUUAACUCUUCAGAACGUUGAAUUUAUCUGAAAGAUUGAAUGUUCAAAGUCCCAACCGUCGACCAGCAAAAGAUGGAAUCGUCAGGAAUAAGAAAUCUGUCUUACAUUCAGCAAAUAAUUAACGUGGUGCAAAAGGAACUUGCUCAGUUUUUCAUUAAACAAUGGAACUCUCGUUACAAAUCAACUUAUGGAGAAUGGGAUGAUACACACAACAGUGGUAACAAAUUUUACAAUUUAGAAUCAAGAAGAAAGUUAGACCAAAAAACUCGACAAAAA